RNAcentral lists this ribosomal RNA (417 nucleotides) under uncultured bacterium. RNAcentral's name for it is "bacterial SSU rRNA". It matches the Rfam family "Bacterial small subunit ribosomal RNA", at positions 29 to 489 of the family's 1533-position model. The record is from RNAcentral.
AACGAACGCUGGCGGCAGGCUUAACACAUGCAAGUCGAACGGGUGUAGCAAUACAUCAGUGGCAGACGGGUGAGUAACACGUGGGAACCUUCCUAGGGGUACGGAACAACUCAGGGAAACUUGAGCUAAUACCGUAUACGUCCGUAAGGAGAAAGAUUCAUCGCCCCUAGACGGGCCCGCGUCGGAUUAGGUAGUUGGUGGGGUAACGGCCUACCAAGCCUACGAUCCGUAGCUGAUCUGAGAGGANGAUCAGCCACACUGGGACUGAGACACGGCCCAGACUCCUACGGGAGGCAGCAGUGGGGAAUCUUGGACAAUGGGCGCAAGCCUGAUCCAGCCAUGCCGCGUGAGUGAAGAAGGCCUUAGGGUUGUAAAGCUCUUUUACCAGGGACGAUAAUGACGGUACCUGGAGAAUAA